GUGCUCACUUUGGCAGCACAUAUACUAAAAUUGGAAUGAUACAGAGACGAUUAGCAUG
RNAcentral lists this small nuclear RNA (58 nucleotides) under Sorex araneus (European shrew). The record is from RNAcentral. Lineage: Eukaryota; Metazoa; Chordata; Mammalia; Eulipotyphla; Soricidae.